This 253-nucleotide ribosomal RNA is filed under the name uncultured microorganism. Its description in RNAcentral is "partial 16S ribosomal RNA". It matches the Rfam family "Bacterial small subunit ribosomal RNA", at positions 524 to 776 of the family's 1533-position model. The record is from RNAcentral.
UACGUAGGGUGCGAGCGUUAAUUGGAUUUACUGGGCGUAAAGCGUGCGCAGGCGGCCCGUUAAGACAGGUGUGAAAUCCCUGGGCUCAACCUAGGAAUUGCGCUUGUGACUGGCGGGCUCGAGUACGGUAGAGGGGGGUGGAAUUCCUGGUGUAGCAGUGAAAUGCGUAGAGAUCAGGAGGAACACCGAUGGCGAAGGCAGCCCCCUGGGCCUGUACUGACGCUCAUGCACGAAAGCGUGGGGAGCAAACAGG